This 459-nucleotide long non-coding RNA is filed under the name Setaria viridis. Its description in RNAcentral is "long non-coding RNA (SVIR_LNC002017)". Lineage: Eukaryota; Viridiplantae; Streptophyta; Magnoliopsida; Poales; Poaceae. The record is from RNAcentral.
GAUGAUCGACGUAGACUAGACGAUGCCCUUCAUCGACUACAUAAAAGAGAACAAGCUACCUCCAGAAAAGAAGGAAGCAGAGCAAGUCUCGCGAUGCAAUAAGGGCGUGAUUGGUUGCAAAGGACCGGACCGUCCAGAACGGAUGGGUUGUACCGGAUCGUGGGAGACGGAAUAGAGCAAUACAGGGGGGUUUAUUUGGUUGCACUUUGCUGUCGUCCUGAAUCAUGCGAGGUUGUGUUUGGUUGUACUAGUUGUAUCGUUCUCGUGUACGACAGGAGUCACCAGAUUGUGUUUGGUACGUAGAAUUGGAUGAGAUCGGAGCACCCUAGCACCAUAUUGGUGAGGUUACCAACAAAGAUGAUGAACAUGAGAUGUUUUGAUAUUACAAAGGCUGAUCUCGCGCUUGACUACUUUCAAAGAUAACUAACUACUAGUAGGAGUACAACAAUAACAAUAAAU